RNAcentral lists this ribosomal RNA (506 nucleotides) under uncultured bacterium. RNAcentral's name for it is "partial 16S ribosomal RNA". It matches the Rfam family "Bacterial small subunit ribosomal RNA", at positions 30 to 523 of the family's 1533-position model. The record is from RNAcentral.
AUUGAACGCUGGCGGCAGGCCUAACACAUGCAAGUCGAGCGGCAGCGGAAAGUAGCUUACUACUUUGCCGGCGAGCGGCGGACGGGUGAGUAAUGUCUGGGAAACUGCCUGAUGGAGGGGGAUAACUACUGGAAACGGUAGCUAAUACCGCAUAACGUCGCAAGACCAAAGAGGGGGACCUUCGGGCCUCUUGCCGUCAGAUGUGCCCAGAUGGGAUUAGCUAGUAGGUGGGGUAACGGCUCACCUAGGCGACGAUCCCUAGCUGGUCUGAGAGGAUGACCAGCCACACUGGAACUGAGACACGGUCCAGACUCCUACGGGAGGCAGCAGUGGGGAAUAUUGCACAAUGGGCGCAAGCCUGAUGCAGCCAUGCCGCGUGUAUGAAGAAGGCCUUCGGGUUGUAAAGUACUUUCAGCGGGGAGGAAGGUGUUGUGGUUAAUAACCACAGCAAUUGACGUUACCCGCAGAAGAAGCACCGGCUAACUCCGUGCCAGCCGCCGCGGUAA